CAGAGACUGCAAGCGUUAUUCGGAUUCACUGGGCGUAAAGGGUGCGCAGGCGGCCGUGUGUGUCAGGUGUGAAAUCCCGGAGCUUAACUCCGGAACUGCGCCUGAAACUACAUGGCUAGAGUAUUGGAGAGGGUAACGGAAUUCACGGUGUAGCAGUGAAAUGCGUAGAUAUCGUGAGGAACACCAGAGGCGAAGGCGGUUACCUGGACAAUUACAGACGCUCAGGCACGAAAGCAUGGGGAGCAAAAGGGAUUAGAUACCCCUGUAGUCCAUGCCCUAAACGGUGCACACUAGGUCUUGGCGGAUUCGUCCCCACCAGGGCCCAAGCUAACGCGUUAAGUGUGCCGCCUGAGGACUACGGUCGCAAGACUA
RNAcentral lists this ribosomal RNA (372 nucleotides) under uncultured organism. RNAcentral describes it as "bacterial SSU rRNA". It matches the Rfam family "Bacterial small subunit ribosomal RNA", at positions 526 to 896 of the family's 1533-position model. The record is from RNAcentral.